GAUGAACGCUGACAGAAUGCUUAACACAUGCAAGUCAACUUGAAUUUGGGUUUUUAACUUAGAUUUGGGUGGCGGACGGGUGAGUAACGCGUAAAGAACUUGCCUCACAGCUAGGGACAACAUUUAGAAAUGAAUGCUAAUACCUAAUAUUAUGAUAAUAGGGCAUCCUAUAAUUAUGAAAGCUAUAUGCGCUGUGAGAGAGCUUUGCGUCCCAUUAGCUAGUUGGAGAGGUAACGGCUCACCAAGGCGAUGAUGGGUAGCCGGCCUGAGAGGGUGAUCGGCCACAAGGGGACUGAGACACGGCCCUUACUCCUACGGGAGGCAGCAGUGGGGAAUAUUGGGCAAUGGACCGAGAGUCUGAUCCAGCAAUUCUGUGUGCACGAUGAAGUUUUUCGGAAUGUAAAGUGCUUUCAGUUGGGAAGAAAGAAAUGACGGUACCAACAGAAGAAGUGACGGCUAAAUACGUGCCAGCAGCCGCGGUAAUACGUAUGUCACGAGCGUUAUCCGGAUUUAUUGGGCGUAAAGCGCGUCUAGGUGGUUAUAUAAGUCUGAUGUGAAAAUGCAGGGCUCAACUCUGUAUUGCGUUGGAAACUGUAUAACUAGAGUACUGGAGAGAUAAGCGGAACUACAAGUGUAGAGGUGAAAUUCGUAGAUAUUUGUAGGAAUGCCGAUGGGGAAGCCAGCUUACUGGACAGAUACUGACGCUGAAGCGCGAAAGCGUGGGUAGCAAACAGG
This 735-nucleotide ribosomal RNA is filed under the name uncultured Fusobacterium sp. RNAcentral's name for it is "bacterial SSU rRNA". It matches the Rfam family "Bacterial small subunit ribosomal RNA", at positions 28 to 776 of the family's 1533-position model. Lineage: Bacteria; Fusobacteriati; Fusobacteriota; Fusobacteriia; Fusobacteriales; Fusobacteriaceae. The record is from RNAcentral.